GACGAACGCUGGCGGCGUGCUUAACACAUGCAAGUCGAACGGAAAGGCCCUGCUUUUGUGGGGUGCUCGAGUGGCGAACGGGUGAGUAACACGUGAGUAACCUGCCCUUGACCUUGGGAUAACUUCAGGAAACUGGGGCUAAUACCGGAUAGGAGCUCCUGCUGCAUGGUGGGGGUUGGAAAGUUUCGGCGGUUGGGGAUGGACUCGCGGCUUAUCAGCUUGUUGGUGGGGUAGUGGCUUACCAAGGCUUUGACGGGUAGCCGGCCUGAGAGGGUGACCGGCCACAUUGGGACUGAGAUAUGGCCCAGACUCCUACGGGAGGCAGCAGUGGGGAAUAUUGCACAAUGGGCGGAAGCCUGAUGCAGCAACGCCGCGUGCGGGAUGACGGCCUUCGGGUUGUAAACCGCUUUCGCCUGUGACGAAGCGUGAGUGACGGUAAUGGGUAAAGAAGCACCGGCUAACUACGUG
RNAcentral lists this ribosomal RNA (468 nucleotides) under uncultured bacterium. RNAcentral describes it as "partial 16S ribosomal RNA". It matches the Rfam family "Bacterial small subunit ribosomal RNA", at positions 28 to 507 of the family's 1533-position model. The record is from RNAcentral.